AUUUUUUACCGUUAGAUCUACGCCUUUGAUCAUCACCCAUUAGAUUAUGCUAUUGAACCAACCACCUACUCAACCCUAGGGGGCCCACAUCAUCCUAACCGCACAUCUCUUAAUCCAAUGGCCAAAAAUCUACAAGCACCAAUAACUUGGUACUUUUAAAAGCAUAGGAGCUCAAUUAUAUAUAUAUAGAAUUAGGCUGGAAUACUAUUAAUAGUAAAACGGUCUUUUUGCUAUCAAGUUUUUAACCCUUGGAUGAAAAAUUGUAGGGUCAGGAUGAUAUUAGUCGGUUAGAGUUGAGUGGUCCCUCUAGGGUUGAGUGGUCCCCACUAGGUUAUAGUAUUUAAUCUAAUGGUUAGAAAUAAUGAAAAGAGUUGAUCCAAAGGAUAAAAAACUGGUAGCAACAAUAGGAUUUUGCUACUAAUAGUAGCCCCAGUCCAACUCUCUUU
RNAcentral lists this long non-coding RNA (446 nucleotides) under Ananas comosus (pineapple). RNAcentral describes it as "long non-coding RNA (ACOM_LNC017786)". Lineage: Eukaryota; Viridiplantae; Streptophyta; Magnoliopsida; Poales; Bromeliaceae. The record is from RNAcentral.